AACAACAUGCCAGAAAAAUGGGCUAUUGUGAUAUGAUAGAUUAUGAAGAUUUUAUUCUGUUGUUA
RNAcentral lists this transfer RNA (65 nucleotides) under Amyrsidea minuta. RNAcentral's name for it is "tRNA-Ile". The record is from RNAcentral. Lineage: Eukaryota; Metazoa; Arthropoda; Insecta; Psocodea; Menoponidae.